Non-coding RNA from Paramuricea clavata, 215 nucleotides. The record is from the annotation of a GenBank genome assembly. NCBI's taxonomy places the organism in Eukaryota, Metazoa, Cnidaria, Anthozoa, Malacalcyonacea, Plexauridae.
AAAUAAAAAGUAAAGAGAUGGAAGCAAAAAAAAGAGAUGAGGAGUUACGUGCCAGAAAUGAAAGUAAUAUGAUUGCUACAUUACAACAACAGCUACAACAGCAACAAGGCAUGUUUAUGCAAAUGCAGCAGCAAAAUAAACUGUUACUGCAAUUGUUAAAUAACAAUACAAAGAACGAAGAUUUACAUUGAAAUUGUUUACAAUGUAUACUACAG